AAAAUGAACAAGGUUUCCGUAGGUGAACCUGCGGAAGGAUCAUUACCGAGUGUAGGGUUCCUAGCGAGCCCAACCUCCCACCCGUGUUUACUGUACCUUAGUUGCUUCGGCGGGCCCGCCAUUCAUGGCCGCCGGGGGCUCUCAGCCCCGGGCCCGCGCCCGCCGGAGACACCACGAACUCUGUCUGAUCUAGUGAAGUCUGAGUUGAUUGUAUCGCAAUCAGUUAAAACUUUCAACAAUGGAUCUCUUGGUUCCGGCAUCGAUGAAGAACGCAGCGAAAUGCGAUAACUAGUGUGAAUUGCAGAAUUCCGUGAAUCAUCGAGUCUUUGAACGCACAUUGCGCCCCCUGGUAUUCCGGGGGGCAUGCCUGUCCGAGCGUCAUUGCUGCCCAUCAAGCACGGCUUGUGUGUUGGGUCGUCGUCCCCUCUCCGGGGGGGACGGGCCCCAAAGGCAGCGGCGGCACCGCGUCCGAUCCUCGAGCGUAUGGGGCUUUGUCACCCGCUCUGUAGGCCCGGCCGGCGCUUGCCGAACGCAAAUCAAUCUUUUUCCAGGUUGACCUCGGAUCAGGUAGGGAUACCCGCUGAACUUAAGCAU
This 594-nucleotide ribosomal RNA is filed under the name Aspergillus flavus. RNAcentral describes it as "eukaryotic LSU rRNA". The stretch from base 228 to 381 matches the Rfam family "5.8S ribosomal RNA". The record is from RNAcentral. Lineage: Eukaryota; Fungi; Ascomycota; Eurotiomycetes; Eurotiales; Aspergillaceae.